Molecule: long non-coding RNA, 561 nt
Organism: Canis lupus familiaris (dog)
Lineage: Eukaryota; Metazoa; Chordata; Mammalia; Carnivora; Canidae
Exons: 4
Source: RefSeq, a predicted model, not a curated record
GCCAGGUGGCGGGGUUUAUAGAAGUGUCUCCACCAACACGGAUCACCUGUUCAUUUCCUGUGAAUGUGCAGAAUGAACUAUUCCUACCACCUAGGACUGAGGAUUUCUACUAGUAAGGACUGAAAACUAGAGACCUCAGCAUUCUAAAGGUUCUAGAGAGGUUGGUAGUCUCCCCCAACAUCAUUUGGACUGAAUUUCACACCUCCCAGGCUGACGAGGGCUCAAGAGACUAAUUAUAAAUAUUCAACUCUUUCAGGAAAGGCUGCUGCACGACAUAUUUCCUUUUCAACCAUCUAGAAACACUUGCCCGCCUUCUUUGUCCUGCUUUCUUCUCUGAGUGCCUGAUUGCAGACUCACUUCCCACGACUGAGUCACCUCACCAAAGAACAUGGUUUCUCUUCAGUCAGCCUUCUCCUCAUACCUUCCAGCCUUUAAUUCAGCAACUGUCUGGCUUCACCCCUUGGCCUGGGGCAAGAACAAACCUGCUGUUGCUAGCCUUGGGUCUGGGCUAUAUAUAUAUACCCUUUCUAUACCUUGUAAAUAAUCCCCUUAUUAAAUCUG